AGCUCUGGGGUGUCACCACGUUAGAUUGCAAAUCUAAAGAAGCCGACUAAUCGCCGGCCGGGGCUU
RNAcentral lists this transfer RNA (66 nucleotides) under Fistularia tabacaria (cornetfish). RNAcentral's name for it is "tRNA-Cys". Lineage: Eukaryota; Metazoa; Chordata; Actinopteri; Syngnathiformes; Fistulariidae. The record is from RNAcentral.